Molecule: transfer RNA, 133 nt
Filed under: Neofusicoccum parvum
Lineage: Eukaryota; Fungi; Ascomycota; Dothideomycetes; Botryosphaeriales; Botryosphaeriaceae
Also listed under: 1 other name
Description: tRNA-Gly
Rfam family: tRNA
About the family: Transfer RNA (tRNA) molecules are approximately 80 nucleotides in length. Their secondary structure includes four short double-helical elements and three loops (D, anti-codon, and T loops). Further hydrogen bonds mediate the characteristic L-shaped molecular structure. tRNAs have two regions of fundamental functional importance: the anti-codon, which is responsible for specific mRNA codon recognition, and the 3' end, to which the tRNAs corresponding amino acid is attached (by aminoacyl-tRNA synthetases). tRNAs cope with the degeneracy of the genetic code in two manners: having more than one tRNA (with a specific anti-codon) for a particular amino acid; and 'wobble' base-pairing, i.e. permitting non-standard base-pairing at the 3rd anti-codon position.
Source: RNAcentral
GCGUUGGUGGUUUAGUGGUAAAAUUCAUCGUUGCCAUCUGUUGCAGUUCCCCAAGGAGCCUCCCUCCUGACAGGACUCCCUGGAGCUCAACACCAACCUCGAUGAGCCCCGGGUUCGAUUCCCGGCCGACGCA